RNAcentral lists this ribosomal RNA (443 nucleotides) under Photobacterium rosenbergii. RNAcentral describes it as "bacterial SSU rRNA". It matches the Rfam family "Bacterial small subunit ribosomal RNA", at positions 64 to 492 of the family's 1533-position model. Lineage: Bacteria; Pseudomonadati; Pseudomonadota; Gammaproteobacteria; Vibrionales; Vibrionaceae. The record is from RNAcentral.
CAGCGACAUAAACAAUCCUUCGGGUGCGUUUAUGGGCGGCGAGCGGCGGACGGGUGAGUAAUGCCUGGGAAUAUGCCCUGAUGUGGGGGAUAACCAUUGGAAACGAUGGCUAAUACCGCAUAAUCUCUUCGGAGCAAAGAGGGGGACCUUCGGGCCUCUCGCGUCAGGAUUAGCCCAGGUGAGAUUAGCUAGUUGGUGAGGUAAGAGCUCACCAAGGCGACGAUCUCUAGCUGGUCUGAGAGGAUGAUCAGCCACACUGGAACUGAGACACGGUCCAGACUCCUACGGGAGGCAGCAGUGGGGAAUAUUGCACAAUGGGGGAAACCCUGAUGCAGCCAUGCCGCGUGUGUGAAGAAGGCCUUCGGGUUGUAAAGCACUUUCAGUUGUGAGGAAGGCAUAUACGUUAAUAGCGUAUGUGUUUGACGUUAGCAACAGAAGAAGCA